Long non-coding RNA from Micropterus dolomieu (smallmouth bass), 645 nucleotides. RefSeq lists it as uncharacterized. Lineage: Eukaryota; Metazoa; Chordata; Actinopteri; Centrarchiformes; Centrarchidae. The transcript is spliced from 3 exons. The record is from RefSeq and is a predicted model, not a curated record.
UAACGUUAUAGCUUGGCGGCACAUUUUUCAUUGCUUUCUGACCGGGAUUGUGUGGCCUGUAUGGGUGUUUGAGUCUAACGUCGUGAUGUGUGUCGGUACUCACAGCACUGCAGCUUGUAGAUGUCACGAGGCCCCGGCUGUGAGCUUGCUCUGGGAGCUGGGGGCGUGUCUGCUGCGGGCUCUGCACUCACCUGAAACCCAUCCGCAAUCAGAACACCUGCUCUGUGUCCCACAAUCAGCCACUGCCUAAAUAGGAGGCUCAGACAUCCAGUCCUCGCCGGAUCAUUGAAUCUCCACAUAAGACCUCCGCCGUCUCAGCAGACUACAAGCCAGUAAGCUCUCGGUGCCGUCCGCAGCCAGGACGCUUCCCGCUCCCGGAUUUCCCUUCUACCCCGAACCUGGGAGGGAGCCUCUGUCCUGAACCUCCGUCCUCCCGCGUACUCUCCCCUGAAUAAACUGUCUAAACUCUGAUCUGCGUUUGGGUCGUCUCUGCCUGAAAACUCUGCCAGUAGAAGUCAAAUUGUUUUAUUCUUAUGCCAUGCAUGUCAUGUUUUGCGUAAAUCAAUUGUAUUUAAAGGAUGACUUAAAAUGCUGUUUUAACUUGAGCAAAUCCCCAUCACAUAUAAAAAAAUGCAUUUAAAUCCA